GUAGUCAUAUGCUUGUCUCAAAGAUUAAGCCAUGCAUGUCUAAGUAUAAGCAAUCAUACUGUGAAACUGCGAAUGGCUCAUUAUAUCAGUUAUCGUUUAUUUGAUAGUACCUUACUACAUGGAUAACCGUGGUAAUUCUAGAGCUAAUACAUGCUAAAAACCUCGACUUCGGAAGGGGUGUAUUUAUUAGAUAAAAAACCAAUGCCCUCUGGGCUUCUUGGUGAUUCAUAAUAACUUCACGAAUCGCAUGGCCUUGCGCCGGCGAUGGUUCAUUCAAAUUUCUGCCCUAUCAACUUUCGAUGGUAGGAUAGUGGCCUACCAUGGUUUCCACGGGUAACGGGGAAUUAGGGUUCUAUUCCGGAGAGGGAGCCUGAGAAACGGCUACCACAUCCAAGGAAGGCAGCAGGCGCGCAAAUUACCCAAUCCCGACACGGGGAGGUAGUGACAAUAAAUACUGAUGCAGGGCUCUUUUGGGUCUUGCAAUCGGAAUGAGUACAGUCUAAAUCCCUUAACGAGGAACAAUUGGAGGGCAAGUCUGGUGCCAGCAGCCGCGGUAAUUCCAGCUCCAAUAGCGUAUAUUAAAGUUGUUGCAGUUAAAAAGCUCGUAGUUGAACCUUGGGCCUGGCUGGUCGGUCCGCCUCACCGCGUGUACUGAUCCGGCCGGGCCUUUCCUCCUGGGGAAUCGCAUGCCCUUCACUGGGUGUGUCGGGGAACCAGGACUUUUACUUUGAAAAAAUUAGAGUGUUCAAAGCAGGCCUUUGCUCGAAUACAUUAGCAUGGAAUAAUAGAAUAGGACGUGUGGUUCUAUUUUGUUGGUUUCUAGGACCGCCGUAAUGAUUAAUAGGGAUAGUCGGGGGCAUCAGUAUUCAAUUGUCAGAGGUGAAAUUCUUGGAUUUAUUGAAGACUAACUACUGCGAAAGCAUUUGCCAAGGAUGUUUUCAUUAAUCAGUGAACGAAAGUUAGGGGAUCGAAGACGAUCAGAUACCGUCGUAGUCUUAACCAUAAACUAUGCCGACUAGGGAUCGGGCGAUGUUAUCUUUUGACUCGCUCGGCACCUUACGAGAAAUCAAAGUCUUUGGGUUCUGGGGGGAGUACGUCAGCAAUGAUGAAACUUAAAGAAAUUGACGGAAGGGCACCACCAGGAGUGGAGCCUGCGGCUUAAUUUGACUCAACACGGGGAAACUCACCAGGUCCAGACAUGAAAAGGAUUGACAGAUUGAGAGCUCUUUCUUGAUCUCAUGGGUGGUGGUGCAUGGCCGUUCUUAGUUGGUGGAGUGAUUUGUCUGCUUAAUUGCGAUAACGAACGAGACCUUAACCUGCUAAAUAGCCCGGUUUGCUUUGGCAGAUCGCUGGCUUCUUAGAGGGACUAUCGGCUCAAGCCGAUGGAAGUUUGAGGCAAUAACAGGUCUGUGAUGC
Molecule: ribosomal RNA, 1416 nt
Filed under: Zoellneria rosarum
Lineage: Eukaryota; Fungi; Ascomycota; Leotiomycetes; Chaetomellales; Chaetomellaceae
Description: SSU rRNA
Rfam family: Eukaryotic small subunit ribosomal RNA
Source: RNAcentral